Long non-coding RNA from Syngnathus typhle (broad-nosed pipefish), 3431 nucleotides. RefSeq lists it as uncharacterized. The transcript is spliced from 6 exons. Lineage: Eukaryota; Metazoa; Chordata; Actinopteri; Syngnathiformes; Syngnathidae. The record is from RefSeq and is a predicted model, not a curated record.
CUCCUGGUUCCCCCACGCUCGUCUGCAACCCCCCACCCUGGCUCACUUGAUUAUGUGGAGCCAGAGUCGGGGAAAGUGUCACUAUGGAAACAAGGGCAGAGGCAGCGAGGGCUCUCGAUGGGAGAGAAGGAGCGCAGAAACCAAGAGAUGGGCUGUGGAAUUCACCAGCGGUCAUUUGGACCGAAGAUUUGGGAGGUAACAACUGAAUUUUAUUCACCACUGAGGCACAGCUGUGAGGUUUAUUUUUAUCCAAAGCACUUUGCUGAACCUUAAGUGCCUCACUCCUUUUUUUUUUUUUUUUUUUUAAUCAAAGCACCAUUUCUCAGCCCUUUAGACAGAUUCUAACAUCCUUUGCACUAUAUGCAAUUCCCUUGCCGAAUUAUUACCAAUAUAUCUAGCAGCAAGCAUAUUUUAAUAUGACUAUAUUACAAAUUAAAUACUUUUCCCAUUUAAUAUAACAACAUAUAUUCAGUCAUAAUGAUACAAACCUGGACCCUCAAAUAUUAUGUUUAUAAAUGAAUAAUAUUGAUUUGUAUUAUGAUGAGAACAAUGCAAUGCAACAAAGCUGCUGAAACUAGUUUUCGAGUUUGAGGAGCAGGGCGGUGUCGGAAGGAGGAGAGAAAGGGGGGUGCGCGGGUAAGCAAGGGGAGGAGUAAAAAAAAAAAGUGGGGGGAGUGUUGGUGUAGGGGGAGUCGGAUCGGAAGGAGGUUUGAUAGUGAGACGCCAGCCGAGGCAGAGGCAAAGAGGAGGCGACGACGAAGGAGCAACAUCUUCCCCCGAGCUGACAAGUUCGUCGCAUCUCGACUUGCAGUAAAGACGUCCGCUCUGAGCGGGUGCCCCUUCCUCCAUGAGCGUCGGUGAAUGUAUGACUCUGGAAGCCCUGUUGCUGCAGCGAUACCCGUCCUAACUCUUCAGUUUUCCAUCCGAACCAGUCCAGACGUUGCUACGAAGCGCAAAUAAAAGACGCGGAAACCUGUUAGAAGACUCCCCGAACACACAGACAGCCCACACUGCGACAGCGUGAAGACUGAUUUGUCGUCGCCUGCGGGCUAUAAGAGCCCAGCGUGGCCCUCCCAACCUCCAUGAGGUAAACGAGGAUCCACCAGGAUGGGACUUUGGCUGCCUCACAUGAAGCUUGAACGUGGUCCUCUUGAGUUCUGUUUAGUCUUUUUUUAGUCCGAUCAUCUUGAGCAGAAACCAAACUAGUUUGAUAAAUCCAAAUCACUUUCCAGCACACUUCUUCCCUCCCGUCUUCUGAGGGCCUCGCCGCGGCCGCUCUCCCGCGUGCCGACCCCCACCGCCGCCUCCCCCAACCCCUGCGCGGUCGCAUUAUUAAACUUGUAUAAGGUCAUUAGCAUACAAAGCAGGGAACCUACAGCGUCGCAGUCAUACAUAUUUAUCCGGACGUGCCUCGCUCGCUCUGGCGCCGUAACCCCAAAAGCGUGUCCGGCUAUCUAUCGCCGGCGACGGCACAUUUCGGCCACUCGCAAAGUGGAUAUUAGUCGAAGCAUGCCCCAGUUUGAAGGGGGAGAUAUUUAUCGGGAGGAUAUGCGCAUUUGGGUUCAUCGCCGCGCUUUGUUUCAAGCAUAGCAAAUGUAAUUUCCACGCCAGCGUCUGAUAAUAAAAUACAUAUUCAUCUGCCGGCGCACAUAAUCAAGCAGGGACUUUGAUACUACAAGUGUCACCUGUGGGUUAGCCACGCCCGAGUGGGAAAGCGGCUGCGCCUCGGCAAAAUCCACUUUGCGCGCAACCACGCCAUCAUUGUCUGCUUGCUCUCCUGGGUAUUACCCAACCCAUUUGUUUUCCCGCUUUUUUCCCUCCCCAACCUCUUUUUCAACCUGAUUGCGCAACCCCCUCCUUGUUUGUUGAAUUCUCUUGCUAAUAAGCCAAAUCACAAAGAAUAUGCUUCAUCUUUUGGGAUUUUUUUAUGUAAACAUUUUAGCACGCUUGUGAGCACGCGACUAUAUAGAGCUUCGGAAUAUUUCCUUUGCAUUCUUUAUCUUGUUGCUAGGCAGAGUCAAUGGGGCUCGUUUAUAGCUGCCCCAACAGCCAAUGACAGCACAGGAAACAAAUCAAGGGACUAGGAACAAUAUGCUAGAAUUCUGGAUACUAACACAAGCUACUGGUGGCAACUGCUUCUUCCUCCCCCCUGCCCUCUCUCUUUUUUUCCUCCCUACGAGAUUGCUGUUGUGUCUUAUGGCUUUUUAUUCCUACGUGAUGGUCGAUGGGUUCAUGUAGGAGCAGAAGCCACUAAACACGCGGUGACUGCUCAGCGCGACGACGGAGGAUUUUUUUGGGGGGGGGGUUGUACGUGCAUAAGCCACAGAGAUGAGAUGCCUCAUUGUUUUUAUGUAAAAUGGUCUGGAAAAAUGCUCACACUGGUCCAAUAAGAAAAAACUUUCCACUCAAUUUCCAUUUCUUACAUAGUUUUAAUACUUCCCCCGCCCCCCCCUAACUUAUCCAACAGUGGCAUUUAUUCCCUUAAAGCUCCCCUUGAGCUGAGUUCACUUCCAAGCAAUUAAGCGUAAAAUUCAAAUGACCUCCAUCCCUGUUGGGUCUGCUUUGGCGCGUUGGGAUUGGGUUUAAAUGUCAACCGUCUAUUCAACCACCCCCCCUCCCCCUCCGGACAAUUUGGAGAAAGCCUAAACGUGCUGUUGUCGCAAGCCAAAAAAAGCCUGAAUUAUGAAUCCAUGUAUAUUACACCGGUUUGACACAUGCUUCCAAUUGUGUGACAUUACUUCUGGACCGAUGCAAGUUUGGAUUAAUAUUCAAGAAGACAUUGCAAUAGCUACGCUCUGCCGGGGUUUAAUGAUUUAUUCAGCGCAGCGAGUUGUUGUGAUCUAAUAUUCUGUGGGCGGGAUGGGAAGUUUCUUUCUCUUGCAUUAUCGGUUUAAUUUAGUUUUCAGGAUUCCGCUCCUACGCGUUUUUUUUUUCUAUUUUAUACACGCGGGGGUCUGAGAGAAUUCCAAAGCAGAGGCGAAAAGGGUGGGGGUGGGGGGGUUUGUUCUCCUGGAAGGGAAAGGUGGGAACGCGAACAUGUCUCGGGAAGUAAAAGGCGAGCGUGUUAUUUGAAAACAGCACAAAAAAGAUUGACUGCGGAUGUCCUCGUGCUUCGCCCGCGGCCGCGCGCGCCUUCUGAUCUAACGUAGAAAAUGUCAAAAACAAUCUGCGAUAUAAGACAAGCGCAUUUCCACACACAUACUUUCCGAAAGCUUGAUCAAGUCGCGCGAGGUCACGCGACCCUCGACUUGAAACGACCGGCGACGACGUUGGAAAUGGAAAUUCCACGCGACAAAUGCGUGUGAUGUGUUUUGUGUACAGUAUCAACACCCCCCGCAGGCUCCACUUUGAUUUGCCUGUAAUAAAUAAUGCUCUUUUGUGUUCUCCGCUUCAUUUGUUCCCCGUUUGUAAUGUCAGCGCUAUUCAAUAAA